GCCAUCUUAGCUUAGUGGUAGAGCAGUCGCUUCGUAAGCGAAAGGUCGGGAGUUCAAUCCUCCCAGUUGGCU
Non-coding RNA from Oxytricha trifallax, 72 nucleotides. The record is from Rfam. NCBI's taxonomy places the organism in Eukaryota, Ciliophora, Spirotrichea, Sporadotrichida, Oxytrichidae.